RNAcentral lists this ribosomal RNA (631 nucleotides) under Streptomyces sp. PC5080. Its description in RNAcentral is "bacterial SSU rRNA". It matches the Rfam family "Bacterial small subunit ribosomal RNA", at positions 111 to 756 of the family's 1533-position model. Lineage: Bacteria; Bacillati; Actinomycetota; Actinomycetes; Kitasatosporales; Streptomycetaceae. The record is from RNAcentral.
UAACACGUGGGCAAUCUGCCCUGCACUCUGGGACAAGCCCUGGAAACGGGGUCUAAUACCGGAUAUGAGCCUCCAUCGCAUGGUGGGGGCUGUAAAGCUCCGGCGGUGCAGGAUGAGCCCGCGGCCUAUCAGCUUGUUGGUGAGGUAACGGCUCACCAAGGCGACGACGGGUAGCCGGCCUGAGAGGGCGACCGGCCACACUGGGACUGAGACACGGCCCAGACUCCUACGGGAGGCAGCAGUGGGGAAUAUUGCACAAUGGGCGAAAGCCUGAUGCAGCGACGCCGCGUGAGGGAUGACGGCCUUCGGGUUGUAAACCUCUUUCAGCAGGGAAGAAGCGAAAGUGACGGUACCUGCAGAAGAAGCGCCGGCUAACUACGUGCCAGCAGCCGCGGUAAUACGUAGGGCGCAAGCGUUGUCCGGAAUUAUUGGGCGUAAAGAGCUCGUAGGCGGCUUGUCACGUCGGUUGUGAAAGCCCGGGGCUUAACCCCGGGUCUGCAGUCGAUACGGGCAGGCUAGAGUUCGGUAGGGGAGAUCGGAAUUCCUGGUGUAGCGGUGAAAUGCGCAGAUAUCAGGAGGAACACCGGUGGCGAAGGCGGAUCUCUGGGCCGAUACUGACGCUGAGGAGCGA